AACGGCUACAGUGAAGAUGUACUUUUACUUUAAGAAGAAACAGUGAUUUCUUUAAGUGGAGCUCCAUUUAACCUGUUUAAAAUGGGUCAGCUGCCAUCAGCAUCAGCUUAAAGGUGUGUGAUUGUGGGCUUGCUUUUUGCGGUGCUGACGUGCUUCCCUGAGAACCAAAGGGAGACACUAAACCUCUCUGCAAACUCUUUGUAGAUUCCCAUCUGUGACUUGAUAAAUAUUUGAUGCAGUGGCCAGUCAACAUCCCUACAUUAGUGAAACUUCUGCCCAGGAGCAACUGUACAGCUCUCAGCAAUGAGAUCGGAUGCUUCCACAGCUCAGAGUUUCCUGACAGUCCUAAGCGAUGUCCUUCCAUGAUGUUUGCAGAACAACCCACGAUUCCUCAUGACGUUUGGAUAAAGUCACCUACUGUUUUUAGAACAGAGGGCAAGAGAUGCAGAGAAACGUUUCCUGUGGCCUGAAUGGUGUAAGUCACCAGUGUGGACUCUAGGACUGUGGCUGCUCCGUGUCAGCAGAGGGUACCGGAUCCCUUAAUAAAUUUACCUUUGCAUUGUG
Long non-coding RNA from Felis catus (domestic cat), 564 nucleotides. RefSeq lists it as uncharacterized. The record is from RefSeq and is a predicted model, not a curated record. The transcript is spliced from 2 exons. Lineage: Eukaryota; Metazoa; Chordata; Mammalia; Carnivora; Felidae.